CGGGGCGUAGCGCAGCCUGGUAGCGCAUCUGCUUUGGGAGCAGAGGGUCGCCUGUUCGAAUCAGGCCGCCCCGACCA
RNAcentral lists this transfer RNA (77 nucleotides) under Parvibaculum sp. RNAcentral describes it as "tRNA-Pro". It matches the Rfam family "tRNA". From Rfam's summary of the family: Transfer RNA (tRNA) molecules are approximately 80 nucleotides in length. Their secondary structure includes four short double-helical elements and three loops (D, anti-codon, and T loops). The record is from RNAcentral. Lineage: Bacteria; Pseudomonadati; Pseudomonadota; Alphaproteobacteria; Hyphomicrobiales; Parvibaculaceae. RNAcentral also lists the same sequence under 1 other name.